AUCAGUGAUUGUCCCAGGUACUGGUAGACUGCCUCUGAGGAGCCCAUUGGUAUUUGUCAAUACGUCAACUCCCCGAAAGGCCCGCUUUAAACUGCCUUUGCAAAUGAUGAGCUCUUCUGAAAAAAAUAACAUUACCAGAAUAACUGAGAGCGGAAUAAAGAAUUUAGAUCUAGAGCAUACAGGGCCACGUAUAUCUUCUAUAGCUGACUCUUUUAAAAGGCGUAAUGUUGCUGCAGAAAAACAGCAUAUGUCAGCUGAAAAAGUUUUGGAAAUGAUACAAAAUGAGGCAGACAGUGAGACCAGCCAAAAACAAACACUACGUAAGUAUUUCUGCAAAUUUUGACAAUGAUAUUUUUA
RNAcentral lists this long non-coding RNA (357 nucleotides) under Gopherus agassizii (Agassiz's desert tortoise). RNAcentral describes it as "lncRNA (ENSGAGG00000002737.1)". The record is from RNAcentral. Lineage: Eukaryota; Metazoa; Chordata; Testudines; Testudinidae.